RNAcentral lists this ribosomal RNA (41 nucleotides) under Rhizoctonia solani. RNAcentral's name for it is "partial 18S ribosomal RNA". Lineage: Eukaryota; Fungi; Basidiomycota; Agaricomycetes; Cantharellales; Ceratobasidiaceae. The record is from RNAcentral.
CUUCCGUAGGUGAACCUGCGGAAGGAUCAUUAUUGAAUUUU